This 209-nucleotide ribosomal RNA is filed under the name uncultured bacterium. RNAcentral's name for it is "partial 16S ribosomal RNA". It matches the Rfam family "Bacterial small subunit ribosomal RNA", at positions 307 to 526 of the family's 1533-position model. The record is from RNAcentral.
GCCUCCCUCGCCGCCAUCAGACUCCUACGGGAGGCAGCAGUGGGGAAUCGUUGCACAAUGGGGCAACCCGUGAACUGCAGCGACGCCGCGUGAGCGAUGAAGCCCUUACGGGGUCGUUAAAGGCUACUUUCGGCUAGGGAAGAGUAAAUGAACGGUACCUGGCCAGAAGCAGCUGCGGCUAACUACGUGCCAGCAGCCGCCGGUAAUAC